ACAUAGUGGCAGACGGGUGAGUAACGCGUGGAAACAUGCCCUUCACUACGGAAUAGCUUUUGGAAACGAAAGGUAAUACCGUAUACGCCCUCCGGGGGAAAGAUUUAUCGGUGAAGGAUUGGUCCGCGUUAGAUUAGCUAGUUGGUGAGGUAACGGCUUACCAAGGCGACGAUCGGUAGCUGGUCUGAGAGGAUGAUCAGCCACACUGGGACUGAGACACGGCCCAGACUCCUACGGGAGGCAGCAGUGGGGAAUAUUGGACAAUGGGGGCAACCCUGAUCCAGCAAUGCCGCGUGAGUGAAGAAGGCCUUAGGGUUGUAAAGCUCUUUCACCCGUGAAGAUGAUGACGGUAGCGGGAGAAGAAGCCCCGGCUAAUUCCGUGCCAGCAGCCGCGGUAAUACGGAAGGGGCUAGCGUUGUUCGGAAUUACUGGGCGUAAAGAGCGCGUAGGCGGCUCUUCAAGUUAGGCGUGAAAGGCCUGGGCUCAACCUGGGAACUGCGUUUAAUACUGGAGAGCUUGAGUCCGGGAGAGGGUGGUAGAAUUCCCAGUGUAGAGGUGAAAUUCGUAGAUNUUGGGAGGAAUACCAGUGGCGAAGGCGGCCACCUGGCCCGGAACUGACGCUGAGGCGCGAAAGCGUGGGGAGCAAACAGGAUUAGAUACCCUGNNA
This 667-nucleotide ribosomal RNA is filed under the name uncultured bacterium. RNAcentral's name for it is "bacterial SSU rRNA". It matches the Rfam family "Bacterial small subunit ribosomal RNA", at positions 90 to 792 of the family's 1533-position model. The record is from RNAcentral.